Molecule: long non-coding RNA, 1946 nt
Organism: Sander lucioperca (pikeperch)
Lineage: Eukaryota; Metazoa; Chordata; Actinopteri; Perciformes; Percidae
Exons: 4
Source: RefSeq, a predicted model, not a curated record
UACGUCCUGCAGGUGGUCUUUGUCUCCUGUAGGUCCUGCAGGUGGUCUUUGUCUCCCGUAUGUCCUGUAGGUGGUCUUUGUGUCCUGUACAUCCUGUAGGUGGUCUAUGUCUCCUGUACGCCCUGUAGGUGGUCUUUGUGUCCUGUAGGUCUUGUAGGUGGUCUAUAUCUCCUGUACGUCCUGUAGGUGGUCUUUGUGUCCUGUAGGUCCUGUAGGUGGUCUAUGUCUCCUGUACGUCCUGUAGGUGGUCUUUGUGUCCUGUACGUCCUGUAGGUGGUCUAUGUCUCCUGUAGGUCCUGCAGGUGGUCUUUGUCUCCUGUAUGUCCUGUAGGUGGUCUUUGUGUCCUGUACAUCCUGUAGGUGGUCUAUGUCUCCUGUACAUCCUGUAGGUGGUCUUUGUGUCCUGUAGGUCUUGUAGGUGGUCUAUGUCUCCUGUACGUCCUGUAGGUGGUCUUUGUGUCCUGUAGGUCCUGUAGGUGGUCUAUGCCUCCUGUACGUCCUGUAGGUGGUCUAUGUCCCCUGUAGGUCCUGUAGGUGGUCUAUGUCUCCUGUAUGUCCUGUAGGUGGUCUAUGUCUCCUGUAUGUCCUGCAGGUGGUCUAUGUCUCCCGUAUGUCCUGUAGGUGGUCUAUGUCUCCUGUAUGUCCUGUAGGUGGUCUAUGUCUCCUGUAUGUCCUGCAGGUGGUCUAUGUCUCCCGUAUGUCCUGUACGUGGUCUAUGUGUCCUGUAGGUCUUGUAGGUAGUCUAUGUCUCCUGUACGUCCUGUAGGUGGUCUUUGUGUCCUGUAGGUCCUGUAGGUGGUCUAUGUCUCCUGUCUGUCCUGUAGGUGGUCUUUGUGUCCUGUAGGUCCUGUAGGUGGUCUAUGUCUCCUGUAUGUCCUGUAGCUGGUCUAUGUCUCCUGUAUGUCGUGCAGGAGGUCUAUGUCUCCUGUAUGUCCUGUAGGUGGUCUUUGUGUCCUGUAUGUCCUGCAGCUGGUCUAUGUCUCCUGUAUGUCCUGCAGGUGGUCUUUGUCUCCCGUAUGUCCUGUAGGUGGUCUUUUUGUCCUGUACGUCCUGUAGGUGGUCUUUGUGUCCUGUAGGUCCUGUAGGUGGUCUAUGUCUCCUGUACGUCCUGCAGGUGGUCUAUGUCUCCUUUAUGUCCUGCAGGUGGUCUAUGUCUCCUUUAUGUCCUGCAGGUGGUCUAUGUCUCCUGUAUGUCCUGCAGAUAGUCUAUGUCUCCCGUAUGUCCUGUAGGUGGUCUUUGUGUCCUGUAUGUCCUGCAGGUUGUCUAUGUCUCCUUUAUGUCCUGUAGGUGGUCUUUGUGUCCUGUACGUCCUGCAGGUGGUCUUUGUCUCUUGUAGGUCCUGCAGGUGGUCUUUGUCUCCCGUAUGUCCUGUAGGUGGUCUUUGUGUCCUGUAGGUCUUGUAGGUGGUCUAUGUCUCCUGUACAUCCUGUAGGUGGUCUUUGUGUCCUGUAGGUCCUGUAGGUGGUCUAUGUCUCCUGUAGGUCCUGUAGGUGGUCUUUGUGUCUUGUACGUCCUGUGGGUGGUCUAUGUCUCCUGUAGGACCUGCAGGUGGUCUUUGUCUCCCGUAUGUCCUGUAGGUGGUCUUUGUGUCCUGUACAUCCUGUAGGCGGUCUAUGUCUCCUGUACGUCCUGUAGGUGGUCUUUGUGUCCUGUAGGUCUUGUAGGUGGUCUAUGUCUCCUGUAUGUCCUGUAGGUGGUCUUUGUGUCCUGUAGGUCCUGUAGGUGGUCUAUGUCUCCUGUAUGUCCUGUAGGUGGUCUAUGUCUCCUGUAUGUCCUGCAGGUGGUCUAUGUCUCCCGUAUGUCCUGUAGGUGGUCUAUGUCUCCCGUACGUCCUGUAGGUGGUCUAUGUCUCCCGUAUGUCCUGUAGGUGGUCUUUGUGUCCUGUAGGUCUUGUAGGUGGUCUAUGUCUCCUGUACGUCCUGUAGGUGGUCUUUGUGUCCUGUAG